GGAGAGCAGGACUUCAGCUGCACCUGCAGAAACCCCCAUGCACAGCCACACCUACGCAGCUUUUCACUGCACGAUGGAUGGGAUGGAGCUGCAAAACCCAUGACCUGUUGUCUUUGGGGGCCAGACACAAACAUGGGAGGCAGAGUCUGCAGAGAUGAAGACAGAAAACUCUGCAAAUCCAGGUUGGGGGAUGGAUCUUGGACUUGGCCCAGGAAUGGCUGUCACUGCUGUGGAUCUCCUGAGAGAGGCCAAGCAAGUUGCUCUUCAGUGUCUCUGCAUCCAGGUUUCCACCUGAGAAAUGGGAACAGCACUUAUCUUUACAGGAGCACCUUGAGGAUAAAUACUGUAAAUUCUGAGCUGGUCAGGUUAUAGGGGUGUUUAGAUAAACACCAAAAUUGAGCAAAAGAAGGUGGGAGAAAAGAGAACAAUCAUGCUGAAUUCAGCUUUGUAAAAAAAAAAAUUAAAUACUUUCUAUUUCUGUUUACUAAUUUUAGUACAUAAGACUUGCUUUUUCCUCUGUUUUUUAUUUUCUUUCUUUCUGGUUUUCUUUAUGUCUCAACAAAGACUACGGUGCCAUGACCAAUUGUACAAAUACAACUAAGAAAGAAAGACAACAUGCUCUCACUUUCAAGUUUUUCUUUUUGUAAGACUGGAAAGAGCAAGGCUCUAUUUGCAUCUCAUGAGAACUAAUGGUUCACUGUUAUCUUUGGCCAAAACCUGGGAAACCUUUCUGUGCAACUUGGGCAGCCUGGCAGAGGAGCGUGACAUGCAUCAGGAUGCUUUUGUUCAAUGACCAAUUUCACAGUGUCCAGAUAAAAAUGGAACAAACAAGUUUUUAGAGUUUUAAGCUCUCUUAUUUUUUGAAAUUCAGAUGAUGAAAUUAUAAAUGUCAAAAUUCUUUAAAGUUAUAAAGUAAAUGCAAAUCUACAACAAUUAGAGGAAGUUGUUGGAAUCAGCAUUGUCAUCUGGUUUUGGAAGUGAAAGAGACAACACAGGUGUAGUGAUUAUCCAGUGGUUUUUCUUUCAUUUUUAUGAAGAGCACAGGUUUGUGUAGUCACUGGUUCUGCCACUAUCUUUUAAAAGCUGUGCUUUAUAGCUGUGUUUUAAGGAAACACUUCCCAGUAGCACAACUUUACUCACAUCAGGAGUUAUAACCAAUACAUGCAGCCACAGAAAGCAUGAGAAUCUGAACAGACUGAUCCCAUGCAGAUCAAUAAUCCUGCAGGACCUGUGUCACUUUGGAUUGUUUCCAGACAUUCAGCAAGGCAGCAGCAGAGUCAGGACUUCAGUGAAGCACAUGCUGUGCAUAUUUUCUGCCAAAAUUCUAACAAAAUUUUAGCUUUCUAACAUGUGCACUUUCACUUCUCUUUAGAAAGAGAGUAACUGCAAUAACUUGCUUAUGUCUGCACCCUUUGAAGCAAAGUCUGCUUUGAAGUUCCUUCUCCUCAUUUACCAGCAGCUACCACACAGUGCUAUCCAAAACACCAUGAAAUAUUUUCUAAGAAUAGGGACUUGCAUGGUACCUUAGAUAGUGAUGCACUGCAGCUUCACAUCAAAAAGAGAUGUUUGAUGAAAACACUAUUAGGCAUCAGGGGUCUUGUUCCUUUCACCUUAAAUGAAUUGAGAUAAAUAAUCUCCCUCUGUCCCCUGCCACAUGCCUUCCAUUCUUUGAUGAAGUCUAAGCUUGCAUCCUUGAAGGUCAUAGGCUUGGAGGAAUUUUCAUACAAGGAAGAAAGAUUUUUUAGAACCAGCUUGCACAUUUUCCCUGGAAUACCUAUCACAAGGAUUACAUAUUACACCCGUAUCAGUAUCUGCAGUAUUUGCACACAUCCAGCAUGCACAUACCAUUCCUAAGUCACACCUACUUUUCAGCUCCCAGUAUAAAGCAAUAAAAAAUUAACUACUGACUUUUUUUUUUUUCCU
Molecule: long non-coding RNA, 1923 nt
Organism: Junco hyemalis (dark-eyed junco)
Lineage: Eukaryota; Metazoa; Chordata; Aves; Passeriformes; Passerellidae
Source: Ensembl